Molecule: ribosomal RNA, 257 nt
Filed under: uncultured bacterium
Lineage: Bacteria
Description: partial 16S ribosomal RNA
Rfam family: Bacterial small subunit ribosomal RNA
Source: RNAcentral
UACGUAGGGGGGCAAGCGUUGUCCGGAAUCAUUGGGCGUAAAGCGCGUGUAGGCGGCCCGGUAAGUCCGCUGUGAAAGUCCAGGGCUCAACCCUGGGAUGCCGGUGGAUACUGUCGGGCUCGAGUCCGGAAGAGGCGAGUGGAAUUCCUGGUGUAGCGGUGAAAUGCGCAGAUAUCAGGAGGAACACCAAUGGCGAAGGCAGCUCGCUGGGGACGUGACUGACGCUGAGACGCGAAAAGCGUGGGGGAGCAAACAGG